AACAAAUUCUCUCCAAACAUGGCUGUCACAAAUUCAGGAGUGGAAUAUCGAGAAAGGGUUUGCGGUGGCUGUCUUGUGAUAUUAUACACAUAUUAAAGGAGAUUCAUGACCCGACCGUCAAGGCGUCAAAUAGGAUGAAAUAGCCGUCGCGCUCUCCUUUAUACUAGUAAAGUCACAUCAUUGAGGUAUGGCAGCUAGCAAAGAUCAAGUUGAAGAACUCUGUCCUCAUAUAACUCUAACAGAUGUUGGAAAAUACUCUUUGGCACAACUUUGUGUGUACAUUUUGUCUAAUAUAAAUGAAACCCAAUCCGAUGUUGUUUGGUCUCAAUCAUAUAUUUCAAAAAUUGUUGAAGAUUUAGGUCUGCCCUUGUCUGUAGCAACAUCGUUCCAUUUGAUGCUAGAUGAAACCGAGGGAAGUGAGGAUGAUAAAAACAUUGAACUAUUGGUAAAUACUCUAAAAGAUGAGGCAAGUCUUAGUGAGGACAUCAGUUUAUUGGGUCAGGAAUUGAUUCGUUUAUCCAUAAAGCAAGGAGGCUAUGAUGCAAGAGCAAGGGUUUUGAUUUAUAUUUUUGCAUGUAAAUUGGGAACAAGAGAAGAGGAGAUUGAAUCAUAUGAAGAUGACUUAGCAGAUCGUUUGAAUGUUCUUAUUGAACAAGAUACAGAAGUUCAUGAAGAAGCUGACAAAAGGAAGUCGUACAGGAAAAAGAAAAAAGCAUUUAUGAUAGGGCUUGGGGUUGUUGCAGGUGGAGCAAUUAUUGGACUAACUGGAGGAUUAGCUGCUCCUGUUGUUGCUGCAAGUGCAGGUGCAUUGAUUGGAGGAGGGGGAGCAACAUUCUUAGCCUCAUCUGCUGGAAUAGCAUUUAUCACAUCUGUAUUUGGAGCAACAGGUGCAGGUCUAACCGGUUAUAAGAUGAGUCGACGUGUUGGUAUGACUGAGGAGUUUAGUUUUUUACAUCUGUCCGACUGUAUGCACCGUUUGCACGUGACAAUAUGUGUAUCUGGCUGGCUAAUGGAAAGUGGCACUGUAGAGUUUAUCACCCAGUGGUCAGCACUUUCACCAUCACUAGAAGCUUACUCAUUAGUGUGGGAAAGUAAAUUCUUGUUAGAAUUGGGCUCAGCAAUUCGGGAUAUAAUUACGACGAAUGUGUUAGGUACAGCAGCAACAGAAGCUCUCAAAUAUACUGUUUUGCAAGGUAUCAUGGCAGCUAUUGCAUGGCCUGUCACUCUAUUGAGUGCUGCGUACUUGAUCGAUAAUCCCUGGAGUGUGUGUGCUAGCCGUGCUAAAGAAGUUGGCAAAGAACUAGCACGAGUUCUAUUAUUACGCAAUCAAGGAAAACGCCCAGUAAAUCUGGUUGGUUUCAGCCUGGGUGCACGUGUAAUAUACUAUUGUUUGGAAGAGCUCAGUGCACACGCUGACUCCGGGGGAAUAGUUCAGAAUGUGAUAGUACUCGGAGCACCAGUAAGCGGAAAUGCUGACAAGUGGCAAAGACUUACAGAUGUUGUUGCUGGUACAAUUUUUAACGGGUUUUGCCGUAAAGAUUGGUUCCUGAGAUUCAUCUAUAGAGCUUCUUCAUUGCGUGCUUCCAUUGCUGGUUUAUGCGAGAUUCCUUGGAAGAGCAAGAAGAUGAUCAACCUUGAUCUCACUGAAAUCAUUAACGGUCAUAUGGACUAUUCUGAUCCUGAAAAUCUAAGAAUAAUUUUUGAAAUGAUCGGAGUAAGAACGAACAGCAAUAAAAGGCGAUUAUCCAUUGAUUCCAAAGAGGAUUCUACGUAUUGUUUUGUUGAUCAUAUGCCAGAGAAGCAAACAGAUACUGCCAGCAACACUCCUGUCGCUGAAGAUAUCACUUAGUGUAUUAAAACAACAUGUUGAAGAACAAUGGCAUUCUCUGUUUGAAGCUUAAUUCUGACAAUCGGGCAUAUGAUAUAAACGCAGUAUUUGUGACUAAACAGUUAUAAAAAUAUUUAUUUGUAAACAAUUAUAUACUACAAUAUAAU
RNAcentral lists this unclassified non-coding RNA (1995 nucleotides) under Dendronephthya gigantea. RNAcentral describes it as "transmembrane and coiled-coil domain-containing protein 4-like, transcript variant X1". The record is from RNAcentral. Lineage: Eukaryota; Metazoa; Cnidaria; Anthozoa; Malacalcyonacea; Nephtheidae.